CUACCAUGCAGUCGAGCGGAUGAGUGGAGCUUGCUCCAUGAUUCAGCGGCGGACGGGUGAGUAAUGCCUAGGAAUCUGCCUGGUAGUGGGGGACAACGUUUCGAAAGGAACGCUAAUACCGCAUACGUCCUACGGGAGAAAGUGGGGGAUCUUCGGACCUCACGCUAUCAGAUGAGCCUAGGUCGGAUUAGCUAGUUGGUGAGGUAAAGGCUCACCAAGGCGACGAUCCGUAACUGGUCUGAGAGGAUGAUCAGUCACACUGGAACUGAGACACGGUCCAGACUCCUACGGGAGGCAGCAGUGGGGAAUAUUGGACAAUGGGCGAAAGCCUGAUCCAGCCAUGCCGCGUGUGUGAAGAAGGUCUUCGGAUUGUAAAGCACUUUAAGUUGGGAGGAAGGGCAGUAAGUUAAUACCUUGCUGUUUUGACGUUACCAACAGAAUAAGCACCGGCUAACUUCGUGCCAGCAGCCGGGGGUAAUACAAU
This 484-nucleotide ribosomal RNA is filed under the name Stutzerimonas stutzeri. Its description in RNAcentral is "bacterial SSU rRNA". It matches the Rfam family "Bacterial small subunit ribosomal RNA", at positions 49 to 529 of the family's 1533-position model. Lineage: Bacteria; Pseudomonadati; Pseudomonadota; Gammaproteobacteria; Pseudomonadales; Pseudomonadaceae. The record is from RNAcentral.